This is a small nucleolar RNA of Dioscorea cayenensis subsp. rotundata (Guinea yam), 107 nucleotides long. The record is from RefSeq and is a predicted model, not a curated record. NCBI's taxonomy places the organism in Eukaryota, Viridiplantae, Streptophyta, Magnoliopsida, Dioscoreales, Dioscoreaceae.
AAUCCAUGUUGAGGACAUUUCCCCAGGAGUGCCUUGAACCUAUCCCAUGUCUCAAAUAGAGACUCCCAUUCCAUUUGCACAAAAGAUAAUAUUUCGUUCCUAAGCUU